UACAGAGGGUGCAAGCGUUAAUCGGAUUUACUGGGCGUAAAGCGUGUGUAGGUGGCUCGCUAAGUCGGUUGUGAAAUCCCUGGGCUCAACCUGGGAAUUGCAUUCGAUACUGCCUUGCUCGAGGACUCGAGAGGAGAUUGGAAUUCACGGUGUAGCAGUGAAAUGCGUAGAUAUCGUGAGGAAGACCAGUGGCGAAGGCGGAUCUCUGGAGAGUUCCUGACGCUGAGGCACGAAGGCCAGGGGAGCAAACGGG
Molecule: ribosomal RNA, 253 nt
Filed under: uncultured bacterium
Lineage: Bacteria
Description: partial 16S ribosomal RNA
Rfam family: Bacterial small subunit ribosomal RNA
Source: RNAcentral